AUGCGGGUCAGAGCGAAUGAAGUAAACGCUAACAUCGAAACGAAAUUAUUACGUUUUAAAAUUAAUACCCAAAUUCUGUAUGGCGUAGAUAUUGUAAUCCCUGAAAGAUCAAUUCGUCAAAGUAAAUAUAUGUACCUGUAAACAAUAAUCGUAUUAGGAGAGUCCUAAGUUAUCUAGUAGAGCCGCCCAAAAACUAAAAGGCUCUAACAAUUGGUCUUUUUAUCUACCGCAUACAGUCCA
Long non-coding RNA from Photinus pyralis (common eastern firefly), 240 nucleotides. RefSeq lists it as uncharacterized. The transcript has 3 exons. The record is from RefSeq and is a predicted model, not a curated record. Lineage: Eukaryota; Metazoa; Arthropoda; Insecta; Coleoptera; Lampyridae.